This 253-nucleotide ribosomal RNA is filed under the name uncultured bacterium. RNAcentral's name for it is "partial 16S ribosomal RNA". It matches the Rfam family "Bacterial small subunit ribosomal RNA", at positions 524 to 776 of the family's 1533-position model. The record is from RNAcentral.
UACGAAGGGGGCUAGCGUUGCUCGGAAUCACUGGGCGUAAAGCGCACGUAGGCGGAUUGUUAAGUCAGGGGUGAAAUCCUGGAGCUCAACUCCAGAAAUGCCUUUGAUACUGGCGAUCUUGAGUUCGGGAGAGGUGAGUGGAACUGCGAGUGUAGAGGUGAAAUUCGUAGAUAUUCGCAAGAACACCAGUGGCGAAGGCGGCUCACUGGCCCGAUACUGACGCUGAGGUGCGAAAGCGUGGGGAGCAAACAGG